Molecule: long non-coding RNA, 388 nt
Filed under: Phoenix dactylifera (date palm)
Lineage: Eukaryota; Viridiplantae; Streptophyta; Magnoliopsida; Arecales; Arecaceae
Description: long non-coding RNA (PDAC_LNC015685)
Source: RNAcentral
CGGGUGCUAGUUCUGGUGGCUGCGGCUGUCGGCGUCGGGCGGAGAGCUCGAAGGCUUCUGUGUCCCGUUCGGUGUUGUUUCGGAGCCGUUACGUUUUAAUACCGGUAUCAUUAUGUUGAGAAGCUUGAAAAGAAGCGAGGGAUGAAGUGUGGAGUAAAAUAGCGGAAAGCGAGUAAAGUUUGUAGAAAAGAAAAUCUCGAUUCCAAAUUCUGGUUUCGCUUUUUUCUCUGUAACCGGGCUGCCCGUUUCCGCAAAUUUUAUAUGAAAAUGGCUCCCUUUGUCGGUAAGCUUCUUAUUUUAUUUUACUUUGUUGUAGUUUUUUUUUUUUUCUGAAAGUUGAUAUAUGGUAUCCUUCUAGCAUAAAUAUAUUUAAAAAAUUAAGAAAAAG